UAGCAAUACUGAGCGAAGCUAGUGGCGAACGGGUGCGUAACACAUGAGUCAUCUGCCCAGAAGUGGGGAAUAGCUCGGCGAAAGCCGGAUUAAUACCGCAUGUGGUCGUAAGACCAAAGCCGGGGCAACCUGGCGCUUUUGGAGGAGCUCGUGGCCUAUCAGCUAGUUGGUGAGGUAACGGCUUACCAAGGCAACGACGGGUAGCUGGUCUGAGAGGACGACCAGCCACACUGGAACUGAGAUACGGUCCAGACACCUACGGGUGGCAGCAGUCGAGAAUUUUUCUCAAUGGGGGAAACCCUGAAGGAGCGACGCCGCGUGGAGGAUGAAUGCUUUCGGGUUGUAAACUCCUGUCAUUUGGGAACAAGGCCUUACGUUAACUGCGUGGAGGAUUGAUAGUACCAGAAGAGGAAGGGACGGCUAACUCUGUGCCAGCAGCCGCGGUAAUACAGAGGUCUCAAGCGUUGUUCGGAUUCAUUGGGCGUAAAGGGCGCGUAGGCGGCGGGGUAAGUCUGGUGUGAAAUCUAGGAGCUCAACUCCUAAACUGCACUGGAUACUGCUCUGCUAGAGGACUGGAGAGGAGACUGGAAUUCUCGGUGUAGCA
RNAcentral lists this ribosomal RNA (604 nucleotides) under uncultured Verrucomicrobiota bacterium. RNAcentral describes it as "bacterial SSU rRNA". It matches the Rfam family "Bacterial small subunit ribosomal RNA", at positions 77 to 680 of the family's 1533-position model. Lineage: Bacteria; Pseudomonadati; Verrucomicrobiota. The record is from RNAcentral.